UACGUAGGGUGCGAGCGUUUGUCCGGAAUUAUUGGGCGUAAAGGGCUCGUAGGCGGUUUGUCGCGUCGGGAGUGAAAACCAGGUGCUUAACACCUGGCUUGCUUUCGAUACGGGCAGACUAGAGGUAUGCAGGGGAGAACGGAAUUCCUGGUGUAGCGGUGGAAUGCGCAGAUAUCAGGAGGAACACCGGUGGCGAAGGCGGUUCUCUGGGCAUUACCUGACGCUGAGGAGCGAAAGUGUGGGGAGCGAACAGG
RNAcentral lists this ribosomal RNA (254 nucleotides) under uncultured bacterium. RNAcentral describes it as "partial 16S ribosomal RNA". It matches the Rfam family "Bacterial small subunit ribosomal RNA", at positions 524 to 776 of the family's 1533-position model. The record is from RNAcentral.